RNAcentral lists this transfer RNA (74 nucleotides) under Candidatus Dadabacteria bacterium. Its description in RNAcentral is "tRNA-Ile". It matches the Rfam family "tRNA". From Rfam's summary of the family: Transfer RNA (tRNA) molecules are approximately 80 nucleotides in length. Their secondary structure includes four short double-helical elements and three loops (D, anti-codon, and T loops). RNAcentral also lists the same sequence under 3 other names. Lineage: Bacteria; Pseudomonadati; Thermodesulfobacteriota; Candidatus Dadabacteria. The record is from RNAcentral.
GGGCCCAUAGCUCAGUUGGUUAGAGCAGCGGACUCAUAAUCCGUCGGUCCCUGGUUCGAGUCCGGGUGGGCCCA